RNAcentral lists this non-coding RNA (219 nucleotides) under Gammaproteobacteria bacterium. RNAcentral's name for it is "6S RNA". It matches the Rfam family "6S / SsrS RNA". Rfam says of the family: E. coli 6S RNA was the first non coding RNA to be sequenced, but its function was unknown until recently. It consists of 184 nucleotides that fold into an extended hairpin structure with a large single-stranded internal bulge. The 6S RNA specifically associates with RNA polymerase holoenzyme containing the sigma70 specificity factor. Lineage: Bacteria; Pseudomonadati; Pseudomonadota; Gammaproteobacteria. The record is from RNAcentral.
CGUCUCCUGGGAUGUUUGCCAGCCGGUGUCGUCCUUGAGCCGUUAGAGAACCUACAGGAGGUUCCUCUCGUGCGACGGUGUGCAGCACCAACGCCCGAACGACCUUCCCGCGAGGGAUGGCGCGUUUGGGAGGCGGGAAGCCUUAGACGCCGCGAGGGACCGCCGCCUUGAACCGAAACGGUUCAGGGCCAACCAGGCAGCGGCAUCUCCGGGAGGCCU